This 74-nucleotide transfer RNA is filed under the name Capnocytophaga granulosa. RNAcentral's name for it is "tRNA-Gly(tcc)". It matches the Rfam family "tRNA". From Rfam's summary of the family: Transfer RNA (tRNA) molecules are approximately 80 nucleotides in length. Their secondary structure includes four short double-helical elements and three loops (D, anti-codon, and T loops). Further hydrogen bonds mediate the characteristic L-shaped molecular structure. tRNAs have two regions of fundamental functional importance: the anti-codon, which is responsible for specific mRNA codon recognition, and the 3' end, to which the tRNAs corresponding amino acid is attached (by aminoacyl-tRNA synthetases). tRNAs cope with the degeneracy of the genetic code in two manners: having more than one tRNA (with a specific anti-codon) for a particular amino acid; and 'wobble' base-pairing, i.e. permitting non-standard base-pairing at the 3rd anti-codon position. The record is from RNAcentral. Lineage: Bacteria; Pseudomonadati; Bacteroidota; Flavobacteriia; Flavobacteriales; Flavobacteriaceae.
GCGGAAGUAGCUCAGUUGGUAGAGCGUCAGCCUUCCAAGCUGAAUGUCGCGAGUUCGAACCUCGUCUUCCGCUC